This 380-nucleotide ribosomal RNA is filed under the name Chaetoceros curvisetus. Its description in RNAcentral is "SSU rRNA". It matches the Rfam family "Eukaryotic small subunit ribosomal RNA", at positions 587 to 969 of the family's 1831-position model. The record is from RNAcentral. Lineage: Eukaryota; Bacillariophyta; Thalassiosirophyceae; Chaetocerotales; Chaetocerotaceae.
AGCUCCAAUAGCGUAUAUUAAAGUUGUUGCAGUUAAAAAGCUCGUAGUUGAAUUUCUGAUAGAAGGGAGCGGUUCCGCAUUCUUGCGGAUACUUGCUCGUCUUCCGUCAUCCUUGGGCUUAGUCUCGCUGAUAUUAACUUAUCGGCGUGUACGAUGCCCAUCGUUUACUGUGAGCAAAUUAGAGUGUUCAAAGCAGACUUAUGUCGUUGAAUAUAUUAGCAUGGAAUAAUAAGAUAGGACCUAGUGACUAUUUUGUUGGUUUGCGUUAUUAGGUAAUGAUUAAGAGGGACAGUUGUGGGUAUUCGUAUUCAGAUGUCAGAGGUGAAAUUCUUAGAUUAUCGGAAGACGAACUACUGCGAAAGCAUUUACCAAGGAUGUUU